This 1498-nucleotide ribosomal RNA is filed under the name Nephromyces sp. ex Molgula occidentalis. RNAcentral describes it as "16S ribosomal RNA". It matches the Rfam family "Bacterial small subunit ribosomal RNA". Lineage: Eukaryota; Apicomplexa; Aconoidasida; Nephromycida. The record is from RNAcentral.
AGAGUUUGAUCCUGGCUCAGGAUGAACGCGAAAGGCGCACUUAACACAUGCAAGUUGAAUGUAAAUAAAAAAUUUUUUUAAAUACAUAGCGAACAGGUGAGUACAACAUAAAAAUUAAAAUUUAGAUUAGAGUCAUAAAAAAGAAAUUUUUGGUAAUAUCUGAUAUAUGCAUUUUAAAAAAGUGUUUACAAAGGUUAAAACUGUCUAUAAAUAAAUUUAUGUCUGAUUAGCUAGUUGGUAAAAGUAUAAGCUUACCAAGGCGAAGAUCAGUAGUUGGUCUGAGAGGAUGGUCAACCACAUUGGGAUUGAAACAAAGCCCAAACUCCUAAGGGAGGCAGCAGUGGGGAAUUUUCUGCAAUGAGCGCAAGCUUGACAGAGUGACGUCACGUGAAGGAUUAAAGCUUUUUUAGUUGUAAACUUCUUUUGCCUUAUAUUUGAAUACUGACAAAAAGGUUUUAAAAAGUAUCGGCUAACUUCGUGCCAGCAGCCGCGGUAAUACGGGGGAUACAGGCGUUAUCCGGAAUUAUUGGGCGUAAAGCGUUUGUAGGUUGUUUUAUAUGUCUUUAGGUAAAUAAUGUUACUCUAAAUUCAUCAAAUUUAAAGAAACUAUAAAACUAGAGUAUUAUAGAGGUAAAAGGAAUUUCUCGAGAAGUGGUGAAAUAUGAAGAUACGAGAGAGAAGGCCAUAGGCGUAGGCAUUUUACUGGAUUAUUUUUUAACUGACACUAAUAAACGAAAGUUAAGGUAGCGAAUGGGAUUAGAUACCCCAGUAGUCUUAACUGUAAACGAUGGAUACUCGGUAUUUACUUUUUAUUAUAAUAUUAUUAAGUACCCUAGCUAACGCGUUAAGUAUCCCGCCUGAGGAGUACGCUCGCAAGAGUGAAACUCAAAGGAAUUGACGGGGGCUCGCACAAGCGGUGGAGCAUGUGGUUUAAUUCGAUGAAACACGAAGAACCUUACCAGAAUUUGACUUUAUAAUAAUUAAAAUUUUAAUAAUUUUUAAAUUUUAUUAUAAACAGGUGGUGCAUGGCUGUCGUCAGCUCGUGUCGUGAGAUGUUGGGUUAAGUCCCAUAACGAGCGUAACCCUUUUUAUAAGUUUAUAUUACUUGUAAUACUUUUUUUUAAAAAAAUGAUAAAUCAAAAAUAGGAAGUAAGGAUGACGUCAAGUCAUCAUGCCCUUUAUGUUCUGGGCUACACACGUGCUACAAUGGAUAGUACAAUAGAAAAAAAAUCUUAUUAUCGUGAGAAGAGAUUAAAUCUUAAAACUAUUCUUAGUUCGGAUCAUAAACUGCAACUUGUUUAUGUGAAGUUGGAAUCGCUAGUAAUCGCCGGUCAGCUAUACGGCGGUGAAUAUGUUCCCGAGCCUUGUACACACUGCCCGUCACGCCAUGGAAGUUAAUUUAUCUUUAAAUUUUAAAAAAAAAGAUCAAAGCAAAAAUUAAUAACUAGGGUGAAGUCGUAACAAGGUAGCUGUACUGGAAGGUGCUGCUGGAUAAAAU